GAGGUACUCCCUCUGUUCCAUAUUAGAUGACUCAUGUUUAUCAAGAUACGGAUGUAUCUAUACUUGUUUAGUGUCUAGAUACAUCCAUAUCUAGACAAAUUUGGGUCAUCUAUUUUGGAACGGAGGGAGUAGUAA
Triticum aestivum (bread wheat) is the source of this 135-nucleotide non-coding RNA. The record is from Rfam. Lineage: Eukaryota; Viridiplantae; Streptophyta; Magnoliopsida; Poales; Poaceae.